CCCCCCCCACCGGCCCCCGCACACCCCGUCCUCCUCACUCCCACCCCGGGGCGGGCAGCAAGGAGCCAAGCAGCACCCGGGCUCCCGGGGAACGCCGGCGUCGGAUCCCAGCGUGCUGCGACUGCUGCGGAGAGUUCCCAGCGCGGACGAGCGCUGUCGGGAGAGCGCAGGCAGAGGCUCUGGGAUGCUGCAGGCGGGAGACUUUUCCCGGUGUUUCCAUCUUCACCACCCGGCUCACUGGGCUGGUGGGAUGCGGGGGCUUAGCCCCCCAGGAGAGCAGCCCGCCCGUUGGGUCUGCAGGGGAAAACCACACUGCAUCAUAGCGAAAACCUGCCCGGUGAUUGACCUGCAUGAAGAAAUCGUCCCUGUGCUCAGGCCUGAUCCGAAGCCCGCUGCAAGCAGCGCUGACGCCGGCUGGGUUUGGACCAGAUCCGACAGCCCGUCCAGGCUGGCAGCGCUGGGUGCCAAGGGACGGCAGUCGCACCGGACGGGGCGCCUCGCUGGGGGCCCUCGCGAGAAAUGCAUUUUCCAGUUUCAGGGAUUCAGGGAGAGGUGCCCUGCUCGGGGCGGGGGUCCGGACAGGGUGCUCAGGCAGCGCUUUCCGGGGAGAGCUUAGAAGCAAUGUUUCUAAACUUGUGCCUUGAUCUUUGCCGGCCAGAACAGGCUGUUUCUAAUGCCUUUUCAGCCCAAGCAGGGUACAGCAUUCCCUGUUUUGUGAGCUUUGAGUUCUUGCUUGACAGUGUGAAUAUUCAGGCCGGACUGACGCAUGGCUUCUUUCACUCCUCCUGCUUUUGUCUCCAAGGCCGUCCUCACUGCCUGGGCCUCCCAGACCCCUCGGAGCAAACGCUUCACUUCGUGGUGGCACAGAGAGGGGUUUUACAGCUCCGGCUCCACAAUCCCUUCAAAUUAAAGAGAGGUUAACGAGCGGAUUCACAGGCCAGGAGCAAGCAGCGCCCAGGAGACCCCGCAAGUCCAGCAGCGUGGGGAGAAAGACCGGCCAGAGUCGGUCUCCCCUCCCGGCUCCGGAUGCGGAGCACCGCUAAGUGAUUAUUGGGAGUUUUGUCACAACGCACAAGGGCACAGCCGUGGGACAUCUCCCUCCGUUUUUUCUGGCCUUCCCUGGGUGAUGCUGUCAAACACUGGCACCUCAUGACCCUCCCUUGUCAUUUCCAAUCUUCCUGUGUCAUUCCUCUGGGUAAUUCUCCUGCAGCCCUGCCAUUUUCCAGAUGUUUUUUGCAUGCACGAUGUCAGAAGCUGAUGAAGGCAGAACAGCACGAGUUUUCUCAGUGAACAGUGAUUCCAGAAUAUAGCAAGGAGGAUAUCCAGGAAAUCUGUUUUUCCCAGUGGACCGCAAUCAACUAAUGGUAGACAGCAAAUUGUAGGGUUUUCUUGUUCUAUAAAAAGCUAAUACAUUUA
This is a long non-coding RNA of Dromaius novaehollandiae (emu), 1416 nucleotides long. RefSeq lists it as uncharacterized. The transcript is spliced from 2 exons. Lineage: Eukaryota; Metazoa; Chordata; Aves; Casuariiformes; Dromaiidae. The record is from RefSeq and is a predicted model, not a curated record.